AUUAUGCCAACCGGUGAAUGAGAUUUACGUGUGAGAGGUGAGCUUAUGUUAACUACUGUACGUAAACUAGUGGUAAAGUGAAAUUUAUGGAAAGUCAUUUGUCAGAUAACUGCGUGUGUGAUCGUAUCGUCGCGAUGUCAAAUUGUACAUGGUGUUAAAUGUUGCAGAACAAGACCAUCGUAAAGACAUCGCACUUAACAGGGAAGAGGAGAGAGGCGGUGUGAGAGGAUGAGUGGUCGCAAGAGAGGAGGCCGGCCCAAUCGGGGAGGAGGACGGUUCAACAAGCCCC
Sardina pilchardus (European sardine) is the source of this 289-nucleotide long non-coding RNA. RefSeq lists it as uncharacterized. NCBI's taxonomy places the organism in Eukaryota, Metazoa, Chordata, Actinopteri, Clupeiformes, Clupeidae. The transcript has 3 exons. The record is from RefSeq and is a predicted model, not a curated record.